CUCAGAACGAACGCUGGCGGCGUGGAUUAUGCAUGCAAGUCGGACGAGAAAGCCCCCUUCGGGGUGGUGAGUACAGUGGCGAAUGGGUGAGUAACGGGUGGGCAAUCUACCCUCGAGCGGGGGAUAACACCUGGAAACGGGUGCUAAUACCGCGUAACAUACAUCGGCGGCAUCGUCGAUGGAUCGAAGAUGGCCUCUGCUUGCAAGCUGUCACUUGAGGAUGAGCCCGCCUCCUAUUAGCUUGUUGGUGGGGUAACGGCCUACCAAGGCGAUGAUAGGUAGCCGGCCUGAGAGGGUGUCCGGCCACACUGGGAUUGAGAUACGGCCCAGACUCCUACGGGAGGCAGCAGUCUAGAGGCUUCCGCAAUGGGGGAAACCCUGACGGAGCGACGCCGCGUGCGGGAUGAAGGCUUUCGGGUUGUAAACCGCUGUCAGGUGGAAAGAAAGGUUCGGUGAUUAAGAGUUGCCGUGCUUGACGUUACCACCAGAGGAAGCUCCGGCCAACUCCGUGCCAGCAGCCGCGGUAAUACGGAGGGAGCGAGCGUUGUUCGGAAUUAUUGGGCGUAAAGGGCGUGUAGGCGGCCUUGCAAGUCUGAUGUGAAAUCCCUACGGCUCAACCGAGGAAUUGCAUCGGAAACUGCAUGGCUUGAGGACGGGAGAGGAGAGCGGAAUUCCUGGUGUAGCGGUGAAAUGUGUAGAUAUCAGGAGGAACACCCGUGGCGAAGGCGGCUCUCUGGCCCGACCCUGACGCUGAGGCGCGAAAGCGUGGGUAGCAAACAGGAUUAGAUACCCUGGUAGUCCACGCUGUAAACGAUGGGCACUAGGUGUAGGAGGUAUCGACCCCUUCUGUGCCGUAGCUAACGCAUUAAGUGCCCCGCCUGGGGAGUACGGCCGCAAGGCUUAAACUCAAAGGAAUUGACGGGGGCCCGCACAAGCGGUGGAGCAUGUGGUUUAAUUCGACGCAACGCGAAGAACCUUACCAGGGCUUGAAAUGACUCUGACCGCCUGGGAAACCAGGCUUCCCUUCGGGGCGGAGCCACAGGUGGUGCAUGGCUGUCGUCAGCUCGUGUCGUGAGAUGUUGGGUUAAGUCCCGCAACGAGCGCAACCCUCGUCUUUAGUUGCCAGCAUUAAGUUGGGCACUCUAGAGAGACUGCCGGUGACAAACCGGAGGAAGGUGGGGAUGACGUCAAGUCAGCAUGCCCCUUACGCUCUGGGCGACACACGUACUACAAUGGUCGGGACAGAGGGCAGCGAACCUGCGAAGGCAAGCUAAUCCCAGCAAACUCGGCCUCAGUUCAGAUCGCAGGCUGCAACUCGCCUGCGUGAAGGAGGAAUCGCUAGUAAUCGCCGGUCAGAAUACGGCGGUGAAUCCGUUCCCGGGCCUUGUACACACCGCCCGUCACACCAUGGAAGCUGGCCACGCCCGAAGUCGUUACCCUAA
This 1442-nucleotide ribosomal RNA is filed under the name uncultured organism. Its description in RNAcentral is "partial 16S ribosomal RNA". It matches the Rfam family "Bacterial small subunit ribosomal RNA". The record is from RNAcentral.